This 253-nucleotide ribosomal RNA is filed under the name uncultured bacterium. RNAcentral describes it as "partial 16S ribosomal RNA". It matches the Rfam family "Bacterial small subunit ribosomal RNA", at positions 524 to 776 of the family's 1533-position model. The record is from RNAcentral.
UACAGAGGUGGCAAGCGUUGUUCGGCAUUACUGGGCGUAAAGGGCGCGUAGGCGGACUUCUAAGUCAGGCGUGAAAUGCCCCGGCUUAACCUGGGAACUGCGUCUGAUACUGGAGGGCUUGAGUGCGGGAGAGGGAUGUGGAAUUCCAGGUGUAGCGGUGAAAUGCGUAGAUAUCUGGAGGAACACCGGUGGCGAAGGCGGCAUCCUGGACCGACACUGACGCUGAGGCGCGAAAGCUAGGGUAGCAAACGGG